CGUGUAGGUGGGCCUUUAAGUCGGUGGUGAAAUCUCGCAGCUUAACUGCGAAACUGCCGUCGAUACUGGAGGUCUUGAGUGCGGAAGAGGGAAGUGGAAUUCAUGGUGUAGCAGUGAAAUGUGUAGAUAUCAUGAAGAACACCGGUAGCGAAGGCGGCUUCCUGGUCCGCAACUGACACUGAGGCGCGAAAGCGUGGGUAGCAAACA
RNAcentral lists this ribosomal RNA (207 nucleotides) under uncultured bacterium. Its description in RNAcentral is "partial 16S ribosomal RNA". It matches the Rfam family "Bacterial small subunit ribosomal RNA", at positions 568 to 774 of the family's 1533-position model. The record is from RNAcentral.